GAAACGACCCGCUGAAUUUAAGCAUAUUACUAAGCGGAGGAAAAGAGGAAAAGAAACUAACCAGGAUUCCCCCAGUAGCGGCGAGCGAAGAGGGAAGAGCCCAGCGCCGAAUCCCCCGUCCCCUAGCGGGCGCGGGGAAAUGUGGCGUACGGAAGUCCGCAUCGCCCGUCUCGGGCCCGGGGGGUCCUUCUGGUGGAGGCUCAGCCCGUGGACGGUGUGAGGCUGGCCGCCCCGCCGGGGCGCGGACUUCUCGGAGUCGGGUGGUUUGGGAAUGCAGCCCAAAGCGGGUGAUAAACUCCAUCUAAGGCUAAAUACCGGCACGAGACCAAUAGCGAACAAGUACCGUAAGGGAAAGUUGAAAAGAACUUUGAAGAGAGAGUUCAACAGGGUGUGAAACCGGCAAGAGGUAAACGGUUGGGGUCCGCACGGUCCGCCCGGGGGAUUCAACCCGACGGUGGUCGCCCCGCCGGCGCGCCGGCCUGGGUUCUCCACGGCCGCCGUCGGGCGCAUUUCCUCUGCGGCGGUGCGCCACGACCGGCUCUGGUUCGGCCAGGAAGGGCCCAGGGUCAAACGCGGCCUCGCCGCGAGCUUUACAGCGCCUCCCCCGCCCCGACUUCGCCGCUUACCGCCGGGGCCGUGAACGAGUCACCUCCGCGCCCUCCCUCGCCGGCCCCACGAGCCCUUCCUCUUCCCCGUCCCCUCCCGGGGGGCGGCGGCGAGGAGUCGGUGGCGGAGGUCGUGCCUGAGGGACGGGACCCCUCCGCCCCCGGCGCGGCUGUUGACUGGGCCGGAUUGUCCUCAGUCCGCCGCCCGACCGUGCCGCGCCGCCAGGGCGGGGACCGGCCCACGACCCGCAAAAAAAAGCAAAAAAAUUACCCCGCAAAGGGCGCUCGGGGUCCGCGGCGAUGCCGGCCACUCAACCGACCCGUCUUGAAACACGGACCA
Molecule: ribosomal RNA, 945 nt
Filed under: Helogenes sp.
Lineage: Eukaryota; Metazoa; Chordata; Actinopteri; Siluriformes; Cetopsidae
Description: eukaryotic LSU rRNA
Rfam family: Eukaryotic large subunit ribosomal RNA
Source: RNAcentral